AGAGCGAACGCUGGCGGCAGGCCUAAUACAUGCAAGUCGAACGAGCCCUUCGGGGCUAGUGGCGGACGGGUGAGUAACACGUGGGAACGUGCCUUUUGGUUCGGAACAACUCAGGGAAACUUGAGCUAAUACCGAAUGUGCCCUUCGGGGGAAAGAUUUAUCGCCAUUAGAGCGGCCCGCGUCUGAUUAGCUAGUUGGUGAUGUAAAGGCCCACCAAGGCUACGAUCAGUAGCUGGUCUGAGAGGACGAUCAGCCACACUGGGAUUGAGAACGGCCCAGACUCCUACGGGGGGCAGCAGUGAGGAAUUUUCCGCAAUGGAGGCAACUCUGACGGAGCAACGCCGCGUGCAGGAUGAAGGUUUUCGGAUCGUAAACUGCUUUUCUCGGGGACGAGCAAGGACGGUACCCGAGGAAGAAGCCCCGGCUAACUACGUGCCAGCAGCCGC
Molecule: ribosomal RNA, 446 nt
Filed under: uncultured bacterium
Lineage: Bacteria
Description: SSU rRNA
Rfam family: Bacterial small subunit ribosomal RNA
Source: RNAcentral